AGAACGAACGCUGGCGGCAUGCCUAACACAUGCAAGUCGAACGUGAUCCAUGACUUCGGUUGUGGUGAAAGUGGCAAACGGGUGAGUAACGCGUGGGAAUCUGCCCAGAGGUAGGGAAUAACCGCGGGAAACUGCGGCUAAUACCCUAUGUGCCCUACGGGGCAAAGAUUUAUCGCCUUUGGAGGAGCCCGCGUCGGAUUAGGUAGUUGGUAGGGUAACGGCCUACCAAGCCUACGAUCCGUAGCUGGUCUGAGAGGAUGAUCAGCCACACUGGGACUGAGAUACGGCCCAGACUCCUACGGGAGGCAGCAGUGGGGAAUAUUGGACAAUGGGGGCAACCCUGAUCCAGCAAUGCCGCGUGAGUGAUGAAGGCCUUCGGGUUGUAAGCUCUUUCGGCGGGAAGAUGAUGACGGUACCCGCAGAAGAAGCCCCGGCUAACGUUCGUGCCAGCAGCCGC
Molecule: ribosomal RNA, 457 nt
Filed under: uncultured bacterium
Lineage: Bacteria
Description: SSU rRNA
Rfam family: Bacterial small subunit ribosomal RNA
Source: RNAcentral